Molecule: ribosomal RNA, 488 nt
Filed under: uncultured bacterium
Lineage: Bacteria
Description: bacterial SSU rRNA
Rfam family: Bacterial small subunit ribosomal RNA
Source: RNAcentral
AUUGAACGCUGGCGGCAGGCCUAACACAUGCAAGUCGAGCGGUAGCACAGAGAGCUUGCUCUCGGGUGACGAGCGGCGGACGGGUGAGUAAUGUUUGGGAAACUGCCUGAUGGAGGGGGAUAACUACUGGAAACGGUAGCUAAUACCGCAUAACGUCGCAAGACCAAAGUGGGGGACCUUCGGGCCUCAUGCCAUCAGAUGUGCCCCGAUGGGAUUAGCUAGUAGGUGGGGUAACGGCUCACCUAGGCGACGAUCCCUAGCUGGUUUGAGAGGAUGACCAGCCCCCCUGGAACUGAGACCCGGUCCCGACUCCUACGGGAGGCAGCAGUGGGGAAUAUUGCACAAUGGGCGCAAGCCUGAUGCAGCCCUGCCGCGUGUAUGAAGAAGGCCUUCGGGUUGUAAAGUACUUUCAGCGGGGAGGAAGGCGAUAAGGUUAAUAACCUUGUCGAUUGACGUUACCCGCAGAAGAAGCACCGGCUAACUCCGUG